Molecule: ribosomal RNA, 406 nt
Filed under: uncultured bacterium
Lineage: Bacteria
Description: partial 16S ribosomal RNA
Rfam family: Bacterial small subunit ribosomal RNA
Source: RNAcentral
AUUGAACGCUGGCGGCAGGCCUAACACAUGCAAGUCGAACGAGUGGCGGACGGGUGAGUAAUUUCUGGGAAACUGCCUGAUGGAGGGGGAUAACUACUGGAAACGGUAGCUAAUACCGCAUACCAUCCUAUGUUCCCAGAGGGGAUUAGCUAGGAGGUGGGGUAAAGGCUCACCUAGGCGACGAUCCCUACCUCGUCUGAGAGGAUGACCAGCAACACUGGAACUGAGACACGGACCAGACGCCUACGGGAGGCAGCAGUGGGGAAUAUUGCACAAUGGGCGAAAGCCUGAUGCAGCCAUGCCGCGUGUAGGAAGAAGGCCUUCGGAUUGUAAAGUACUUUCAGCAGAGAAGCGUUACCCGCAGAGGAAGCACCGGCUAACUCCGUGCCAGCAGCCGCGGUAAUAC